Non-coding RNA from Gossypium raimondii (Peruvian cotton), 160 nucleotides. The record is from Rfam. NCBI's taxonomy places the organism in Eukaryota, Viridiplantae, Streptophyta, Magnoliopsida, Malvales, Malvaceae.
AUACUUACCUGGACAGGGUCAAUGAGUGAUCAUGAAGACUCAUGGCCUAGAGUAGUGACCACCAUUGCACUUGGGAGGGGUGCUGCUUUAAGGUCUCCCCAGGAGGGAGAGCCUAUGUCAUAAUUUGUGGCAGUAGGGCUUGCGUGCGCGCAGCCUCUAC